GAUGAACGCUAGCGGCAGGCCUAACGCAUGCAAGUCGAGGGGUAACUAGAGUGAUAGCAAUAUUACUUUGGCUAGACCGGCGCACGGGUGCGUAACACGUAUGCAACCUACCUUAUACUGGGGAAUAACUUCGAGAAAUCGGCGCUAAUACCCCAUAACACUGCGGAGAGGCAUCUCUUUGCAGUUAAAGCUCCGGCGGUAUAAGAUGGGCAUGCGUCCAAUUAGCUAGUUGGUGAGGUAACGGCUCACCAAGGCUACGAUUGGUAGGGGUUCUGAGAGGAUGAUCCCCCACACUGGUACUGAGACACGGACCAGGCUCCUACGGGAGGCAGCAGUGAGGAAUAUUGCGCAAUGGACGAAAGUCUGACGCAGCCAUGCCGCGUGCAGGAUGACGGCCCUAUGGGUUGUAAACUGCUUUUGUACGGGAAUAAACCCUUCUACGUGUAGGAGGCUGAAGGUACCGUAAGAAUAAGCACCGGCUAACUCCGUGCCAGCCGCCGCAGUAA
Molecule: ribosomal RNA, 506 nt
Filed under: uncultured bacterium
Lineage: Bacteria
Description: partial 16S ribosomal RNA
Rfam family: Bacterial small subunit ribosomal RNA
Source: RNAcentral